UGGGGAAUUUUGGACAAUGGGGGAAACCCUGAUCCAGCCAUCCCGCGUGUGCGAUGAAGGCCUUCGGGUUGUAAAGCACUUUUGGCAGGAAAGAAACGUCGCGGGUUAAUACCCCGCGGAACUGACGGUACUUGCAGAAUAAGCACCGGCUAACUACGUGCCAGCAGCCGCGGUAAUACGUAGGGUGCAAGCGUUAAUCGGAAUUACUGGGCGUAAAGCGUGCGCAGGCGGUUCGGAAAGAAAGAUGUGAAAUCCCAGAGCUUAACUUUGGAACUGCAUUUUUAACUACCGGGCUAGAGUGUGUCAGAGGGAGGUGGAAUUCCGCGUGUAGCAGUGAAAUGCGUAGAUAUGCGGAGGAACACCGAUGGCGAAGGCAGCCUCCUGGGAUAACACUGACGCUCAUGCACGAAAGCGUGGGGAGCAAACAGGAUUAGAUACCCUGGUAGUCCACGCCCUAAACGAUGUCAACUAGCUGUUGGGGUCUUCGGACCUUGGUAGCGCAGCUAACGCGUGAAGUUGACCGCCUGGGGAGUACGGUCGCAAGAUUAAAACUCAAAUGAAUUGAC
Molecule: ribosomal RNA, 566 nt
Filed under: uncultured bacterium
Lineage: Bacteria
Description: partial 16S ribosomal RNA
Rfam family: Bacterial small subunit ribosomal RNA
Source: RNAcentral